UUUAAUCAUUUUCAUUUCAUAUUUGUAUAAAUUAUGUCAUUUUAGUUCCAUUUCAUACUUAUAACCAAUUUAAACAUCUUUCUACAACCGUAAUCGCAAAACUCUUAUACUUAACCUCUACUUCACCUAGGUACAUGCCACAUUAUCAAAACAAAGGUACAUAACUAAAAUUUCUCUGAGGUCGGGAUUGCUCUGGAUGCUGGACCAAACACUGGCUUUCUACUAACCUACGCACGGAAACAAUCGUACGCUGAGUAUAGGUAUACUCAGUGGUAUUACCAUAAUUCAAAUUAAUAACAUUAAUCGAUAAAUUAUAUACAUUUAAUUUAUGUCUACAAUUAUUCAUUAAUUAUCUCAUACUUUAAAUCAACUUGAUAAUUAAUAACAAUAAGCAAUAUUUCAAAUCUUGUAUUUAAUUGUAGUCAUACCACCUUAUUUCACUAUCUCAAUUCCAUUGGAUUUUUCACAUCUCAUUCCAAUACUUCAUUUCAAUUCAUAUACAAUUCAUUCAAUUUAUCACUAUAUUCAAUAUCAAUUCUAUUCCAAAUUGUACUCACUAAUAUCAUAUAACAAAAAUUUAUUCUUAAUCACACCAUGAACUUUGGGUUCAUAUCUUCAAAUCUCAUAUAUCGAUUUCCAAUUCACAUAUCAAUUCACAAUUUCACUUUCUCAUCUCUUUCCAUAGCUCAAUCAAUCACACUUAUUCAAUUUUUCUUAUUUUAAUUAUUUACCCCUAUUAACAAGACUCGGACCUUGGUGGAUACACGGAUCCAACCAAACACACCAAAAUAGCACCCAGUGCCUCAUCGGAUAGUUCGAAGCAAUAGUUGACACUCAGUGUCUCAUCGGCAGAGCUGAAGAAAGUUGGUACCCAAUACCUCAUCGAAACUAUUCGAAGAAAUAUAGUGACACCCAGUGUCUCGUCGACUCAAGGUCGAAAAAUCCCUGAACUCUUCCAAUCCUAUGGCAUGCCAACUAUAUCCGACUCAGUCCGACUAGUUAAUAGGGUAUUCAAAUCAUUUUUUUUCUAUUUCAAAUUCACUUACAAUUCAAUCACAAUUCAUUUCAAAUUCACUCUCACUCUCUAAUCAAUAUACAAUUCAAUACCAAUACAUUUUUCCACUUUCCAAUCAAUGUACCAUCAAAUACUCAUAUAUAUUCAUACUUCAUUUCAAUUUCAUUCAAUUCACAAUUUCUCAUGUUCACAAUUCAAAUCAAUUUCUCAUUCCAAUAUGCAUUUCAAUAUUACAUUAAUUCAUUUAAUUCAAAUCAUAUCACUAAUAAUUUCCAUUCACUUCACAUACAAUUCAAUAUCAUUUAAUUCAAUAUCGAUAUUCACCUUAUUUUUAUUUACUAAACAUAUUAUUCAAAAUUCAACAAUUGCUAUUAAUAAAUUCAAUACCAAUACGUAUUUAUCAUUCAAUUCAAUCGUGAUAAUUACCUCAAUUUGCUUAUCGUGUAUAUUAAUUUAAAAUUUAACAAUUAAUAAUUAAAUUUAAAUUAUGAUAAUACUAACCGAAAUUUCUCUCGAGUCACUCCUUGUUCACCUUCUCAUUUCCUUUCUCGGACAAUGACUCUUGCACGACAUUAGCUACGUAAUUAAACAAUUAAAAAUCAUUAAUACACAAUUUCAUCAAAAUAUUUCCAUUUAUACCUAAACUUUACCUAGAUUCUAAUUUAAUCCCUUAUCAAUACUAAUUUUAUUUUCCCAAUCUAACUCCAUAUUCUCUCUUAAUUCUUACUAUAAACUCAUUUUAACUCUUCAAUUUCACCAUAAAUUCCAAAUUUCGAGAUUCUUUCAAUUUAGUCCCUACUAUUCAAAACUUACACUUUAUUUUACAAUUAAAUCCUUUACUAACUUCUAAUUUGAAAUUAAAUUAAUUUAACCCCCAAUUCAUCAUUUUUCCACACAUGAACCAUGCCUAAAAAAUCUAAUAUCUUACAAAAUUUCAAAAUACUUUGUUCUAGGAUUCCAAAAACAUCAAAACUAAGAGAAAAUGGACUAAAUUAACUUACCAAUUGAAGCUUGAAGCUCAAAAACCGUAUUUUUCCAUUUUAUUUUCUUUCUUUCUUUCUUUUUCCUUCUUUCCUUUCGCUUUUUCGUUUGCCUAUUCUGUUCUAUUUCUCUUUUUCUAUUCUUUUAUUUCUAUUAUAUUUU
RNAcentral lists this long non-coding RNA (2158 nucleotides) under Gossypium barbadense (sea-island cotton). RNAcentral describes it as "long non-coding RNA (GBAR_LNC016037)". Lineage: Eukaryota; Viridiplantae; Streptophyta; Magnoliopsida; Malvales; Malvaceae. The record is from RNAcentral.